RNAcentral lists this long non-coding RNA (327 nucleotides) under Trifolium pratense (red clover). RNAcentral's name for it is "long non-coding RNA (TPRA_LNC002528)". Lineage: Eukaryota; Viridiplantae; Streptophyta; Magnoliopsida; Fabales; Fabaceae. The record is from RNAcentral.
CUAAGUUUACCUUGAAACAAAAUUGAUCAACACAAGAAAAACCCAGUCCUCCAUCUCAAUUUGUUAAUUUGUUACAAGUUAUCACAUUAAACUAUCUAUCUCCAUGACUUUGUAAUCCUUUUACUGCAAGUUUGCAACAGCAAGCGAUGAAUGUCUCUCGCCAUCCAUUUUUCAUAUGAUUAGGUUUGACAAUGUCUGAAAAAGAGCUUUCGAAGGUGUAACCACUCAAUCCGACUACAAUAACAUGCUCACCACACUGUACUGACAAUGACAAAAGCUUUAACCUAUGCUAACAUGCAUUUCCUCCCCAACAAUUUCAAAUAUUUC